This 433-nucleotide ribosomal RNA is filed under the name uncultured bacterium. Its description in RNAcentral is "partial 16S ribosomal RNA". It matches the Rfam family "Bacterial small subunit ribosomal RNA", at positions 29 to 507 of the family's 1533-position model. The record is from RNAcentral.
AACGAACGCUGGCGGCAGGCCUAACACAUGCAAGUCGAGCGAGGACUUCGGUCCUAGCUCCGCACGGGUGAGUAACGCGUGGGAACGUGCCCUUUGCUUCGCAAUAGCUCUGGGAAACUGAGAGUAAUACAGGAUGAGCUCUUUGGGGGAAAGAGUUAUCGGCGUAGGAUCAGCACGCGUUGGGUUAGUUAGUUGGUGGGGUAAUCGCGUGCCAAGCCGGCGAUCCUUAGCUGGUAUGAGAGCAUGCUCAGCCACAAUGGGGCUGAGACACGGCCCAGAGUCCUAGGGAAGGCAGGAGAAGGGAAUAUUAGACAAUGGAGGCAGCCCUGAUAUCGCCACGUGGCGGAAGAGAGCAAGGCCUUAGUGAAGUAAUGUUAUUUCAGAUGGGAAGAUAGUGACGGUACCAGCAGAAGAAGCGCCGGCUAACUCCGUG